RNAcentral lists this unclassified non-coding RNA (260 nucleotides) under Hevea brasiliensis (rubber tree). The record is from RNAcentral. Lineage: Eukaryota; Viridiplantae; Streptophyta; Magnoliopsida; Malpighiales; Euphorbiaceae.
AAUCAUUUGAAUCUCCCACGCAACAAUCUCAAACUGAAAUAGCUAAUACUCAUCAAAUUAUAGAAAUCAUAUGAUAUCAUUUUCUUUUACUGUGACUAAGGUCAUAAUGAUAAGUGAAUAAUGAUACUACAUUCUCUACCAUGCUGCUAAACCAAUACUCUGAGCAUCCAAACAAAUGCUAAGCCGGUAACAUCGGAAGGUAACAUCAGUAAAAUCUUCCGAGAAGUAUCGAUAAUCUGAAUCAGAUAUAUCUACUUCUG